CAUGGCUAAGCUUGCUGUAAUCAAUAUUUACCACAUUUACAAUCUGGUACAUUGACCAACCCAAUAAUUAAUUCAUAUUUCAUAAUUUAAAACUGCUGUCAAGCGAGGAAAAAUCACAUUAUCUCGACAGACGGACACAACAUUGUCGAAAAUAUGGAGAAGAACGAGGACCUUUGCGAAAUCCCGGUGUGGACAAAGGCCCUCAUGAAUCCGCUGAUUUUAAACAGGAUUUUCUCCCAUCUGAAUUUCGCCGACUUGAAGAAUUCCGUCCGAAUCGUCUGCACCGUUUGGGCCGACCUAAGUGCCUCGCAUCUUGGGCGUCUGUGUUGCCUCAGGGUUUCACAUAAUCACCUGAAAGAUAUGACCUCAUUCAACCCUAAACUGAUCAGGAAUAUUUCCCUCCACCUGAAGACAGACUCGAAGCUAACGGGCAGCUCUGCUGGCGUACUGAAUUAUCGGUACACCGACGCUGUUACCGUGGUGCCCGAAAUACCAAAGCUUUUGACCCACCUUAUCAUACACUUUGACACAAGAAGUCUACCAAAACUGGGGGAAAUGUGGGGCACCUUCAUCUUCCGGGACCGGUUGGGCAUGCUGGUUGAGAAAUGGGGGGUGACGAGGUCCUGGGGGCGCCAGAAUUUCGACCCUUCCCAAAUCUUAAGGGGCUCACCUUCACAAGUCACGAUAACCCCCUUCAAACCGUCAUCUCGGGGGGUGCAAGCACCAUUCUGCAAGGGCUGCUAAACUCUGCUCCUAACCUGGAAGAGGUAAAUAUGACGAUAGAUUUCUACCCGGACUUCACCUCGUGCAAAAACCUCCGGAUUUUGACCUUCAACUGUAUUGGGCUACACAAAAUUACGCUUUCUGACCCUUCCGCUAUUUCAAGAAUGAUGGAUACUUGCUCAAAUUCUGUAGUUCGGUUAACUUUGAGUGGUUUCUAUAAAACUUUGAGCCUUGCACAGGUGUUUGCAAAUGUUUAAAUGGAUCCAUGACUCAGAGGUCGACGCCGCCGAUCGUACGCCGCCGCGCCGGCGAUCGUACGCCGCCGAACGCCGGUAGCAUUUUACGCGUCGCCGCAGGCGAAAAAUUUGAUUUUCUAUACCCUUAGCUUUGCGACGCCGCGCCGCGCCGCCGACGCCGCCGAAAAAUCACCAAAAACUGGCGCCGCCGCCGCCGAAAAUUUGUCGGCGUCGCCCUCUGCCAUGACUCGUCCGUUUAUAACAAAUCGCUACUUUUUAUUUUUAAUCUAGAUUCCAAACUUUAGCGCCCCGAACGUCACCCACCUUACAGUCAAAACGGAUGGGGGAAUUAUGUUUGAUUUCUUGGACGUUGCUAGUCUCCCAAAACUUUCCCACUUCUCCAUCCAAGGGAUAAUGUGUGACAACGCUAUGUGGAGAAUGUAUCAAAAUUGUCACCGGCCGCAUUAUGGCAUAAGUAAGCUCGAAAUCAAGUGCUUUCACUGUGCCGCAGAGGAUGUACAAGGUUCCGCCAAAAUCGCGACGCUCUUCCCAUGUGUUACUGAGUUUGGAAAUGCUAUGUUAUCCGGGAACUUUGGAACAUUUGAGGGGAAUUUUUAACUCUUUUCGGGAAUGGAAGUUGACGAAGGGGGAGAUCGAAAUCGGAGCGAUUAGAUGCUUGGACUCCUUAGCGGCUGUGUUGGAGGGAAUGGCGGGAUGGCGAGGUUUGCAAAAUACGGAACUUCACUUCAAUGGGGGCUUGAUUCAUGCCUUAUCGGACCGGGUUCGUGACGCCCUCAUUUCAUGCGGUUCGAUCCGGCAUAUUUAUAUGGAUCAACUUUGGAUGGACGAGAAGAUUCGGGACAAUUUUAAGGCAUUUACAGUACCAAGGAAUUUACCUAUUUCGCUUUAGGCAUCUACAGACCUUACAUUGAUAUUGUUUUAAGCGUAAUAAUGUAAAAUGUAAUUAUCGUAUGUAGAACAAAUAUAAUGCAUGUAACGAAUAGGUGAAAUCAAGAACUUUUAUUCUUAAUUUUAAAUCAAAUAUUUUGGAUAAAGUGUGUGCCCUUCUUGUUGAUUUAAACAAAAAAA
Molecule: long non-coding RNA, 2048 nt
Organism: Folsomia candida
Lineage: Eukaryota; Metazoa; Arthropoda; Collembola; Entomobryomorpha; Isotomidae
Exons: 4
Source: RefSeq, a predicted model, not a curated record